UCCGGCUUAUCACCGGCAGUUUCCCUAGAGUUCUCAGCCUAACCUGUUAGCAACAAGGGAUGAGGGUUGCGCUCGUUGCGGGACUUAACCCAACAUCUCACGACACGAGCUGACGACAGCCAUGCAGCACCUGUGCUCCUCCCACCCGAGGUGAAGGAUCUCCUUUCAGAGACCCAUAGAGGGCGAGUCAAGGCCUGGUAAGGUUCUUCGCGUUGCCUCGAAUUAAACCACAUGUUCCACCGCUUGUGCGGGUCCCCGUCAAUUCCUUUGAGUUUUAAUCUUGCGACCGUACUCCCCAGGCGGGGUGCUUAACGCGUUAGCUGCGCCACCGAGACCGAAGGUCCCAACGGCUAGCACCCAUCGUUUACAGCGUGGACUAC
Molecule: unclassified non-coding RNA, 380 nt
Filed under: uncultured Rickettsiales bacterium
Lineage: Bacteria; Pseudomonadati; Pseudomonadota; Alphaproteobacteria; Rickettsiales
Description: contains 16S-23S intergenic spacer region
Source: RNAcentral